RNAcentral lists this ribosomal RNA (748 nucleotides) under uncultured organism. RNAcentral describes it as "bacterial SSU rRNA". It matches the Rfam family "Bacterial small subunit ribosomal RNA", at positions 762 to 1500 of the family's 1533-position model. The record is from RNAcentral.
GGGGGAGCGAACAGGAUUAGAUACCCUGGUAGUCCCAGCAGUAAACGAUGUGAGCUUGAUGUGGGGGGAUUCGACCCCUUCGCGUGUCGAAGCUAACGGCGAUAAGCUCACCGCCUGAGGAGUACGGCCGCAAGGCUAAACUCAAAGAAAUUGACGGGGACCCGCACAAGCGGUGGAGUAUGUGGCUUAAUUCGAUGCAACGCGAAGAACCUUACCUGCCUGACAUGCAUUGGUCGUCGGUGAAAGCCGGCUAGUCCUGGAAACAGGACGCUUUGCACAGGUGCUGCAUGGCUGUCGUCAGCUCGUGUCGUGAGAUGUUGGGUUAAGUCCCGCAACGAGCGCAACCCUUGUGGUCAGUUACUAACCGGCUUAGCCGGAGGACUCUGCCAGACUGCCCUGUCAAACGGGGAGGAAGGUGGGGACGACGUCAAGUCAGUAUGGCCCUUAUGGCCAGGGCUGCACACGUACUACAAUGCCCGGUACAAUGUGAACCGAAACCGCGAGGUGGAGGAAAUCGCUCUUGAAGACCGGGCCCAGUUCGGAUUGGAGUCUGCAACUCGACUCCAUGAAGUCGGAAUCGCUAGUAAUGGCGUAUCAGCAACGACGCCGUGAAUACGUUCCCGGGUCUUGUACACACCGCCCGUCACAUCAUGGAAGUCUCCUGUACCCGAAGCACGUGCGCCAACCUUUCAGGAGCAGCGUUCGAAGGUAUGGGAGGUAACUGGGAUGAAGUUGUAAACAAGUAACC